Molecule: ribosomal RNA, 440 nt
Filed under: uncultured bacterium
Lineage: Bacteria
Description: partial 16S ribosomal RNA
Rfam family: Bacterial small subunit ribosomal RNA
Source: RNAcentral
CCUACGGGAGGCAGCACUAGGGAAUAUUGCUCAAUGGGGGAAACCCUGAAGCAGCAACGCCGCGUGGAGGAUGAAGGUUUUCGGAUUGUAAACUCCUUUUGUUAGGGAAGAUAAUGACGGUAUCUAACGAAUAAGCACCGGCUAACUCCGUGCCAGCAGCCGCGGUAAUACGGAGGGUGCAAGCGUUACUCGGAAUCACUGGGCGUAAAGAGCGCGUAGGCGGGAUAGCAAGUCAGAUGUGAAAUGCUAUGGGUUAACCAUAGAACUGCAUUUGAAACUGUUAUUCUAGAGUAUGGGAGAGGUAGGUGGAAUUCUUGGUGUAGGGGUAAAAUCCGUAGAGAUCAAGAGGAAUACUCAUUGCGAAGGCGACCUGCUAGAACAUAACUGACGCUGAUGCGCGAAAGCGUGGGGAGCAAACAGGAUUAGAUACCCCAGUAGUC